GCUUGCUUCUUGGGGUUGUAGGACACUCUAUACGGAGUUACAAAAGAAAGUUAUAAAUGAAGCGGUCUGGAAAGGCCCGCCAAAGACGGUAACAGCCCGGUAGUUGAAAUGGCUUUCCCUCCAGAGUGGAUCCUGAGUACGGCGGAACACGUGAAAUUCCGUCGGAAUCCGGGAGGACCAUCUCCCAAGGCUAAAUACUCCCUAGUGACCGAUAGUGAACCAGUACCGUGAGGGAAAGGUGAAAAGCACCCCGGAAGGGGAGUGAAACAGUUCCUGAAACCGUGUGCCUACAAGUAGUUAGAGCCCGUUAAUGGGUGAUAGCGUGCCUUUUGUAGAAUGAACCGGCGAGUUACGAUUUGUUGCAAGGUUAAGCGGAAAAAGCGGAGCCGUAGCGAAAGCGAGUCUGAAUAGGGCGCAUAAGUAACAGGUCGUAGACCCGAAACCAGGUGAUCUACCCAUGUCCAGGAUGAAGGUAAGGUAAUACUUACUGGAGGUCCGAACCCACGCACGUUGAAAAGUGCGGGGAUGAGGUGUGGGUAGCGGAGAAAUUCCAAUCGAACUUGGAGAUAGCUGGUUCUCUCCGAAAUAGCUUUAGGGCUAGCCUCGAGGUAAAGAGUCAUGGAGGUAGAGCACUGUUUGGACUAGGGGCCCUUCUCGGGUUACCGAAUUCAGAUAAACUCCGAAUGCCAUGUACUUAUACUCGGGAGUCAGACUGCGAGUGAUAAGAUCCGUAGUCGAAAGGGAAACAGCCCAGACCACCAGUUAAGGUCCCCAAAUAUAUGUUAAGUGGAAAAGGAUGUGGGGUUGCUUAGACAACCAGGAUGUUGGCUUAGAAGCAGCCACCAUUGAAAGAGUGCGUAAUAGCUCACUGGUCGAGUGACCCCGCGCCGAAAAUGUACCGGGGCUAAACAUAUUACCGAAACUGUGGAUGAACCUCUUUAGAGGUUCGUGGUAGGAGAGCGUUCUAAGGGCGGUGAAGUCAGACCGGAAGGACUGGUGGAGCGCUUAGAAGUGAGAAUGCCGGUAUGAGUAGCGAAAGAAGGGUGAGAAUCCCUUCCACCGAAUAUCUAAGGUUUCCUGAGGAAGGCUCGUCCGCUCAGGGUUAGUCGGGACCUAAGCCGAGGCCGAUAGGCGUAGGCGAUGGACAACAGGUAGAGAUUCCUGUACCAGUGCUAAUUGUUUAACCGAUGGGGUGACACAGAAGGAUAGGGAAUCGCACGAAUGGAAAUGUGCGUCCAAGCAGUGAGUGUGAGAAGUAGGCAAAUCCGCUUCUCGCGAAGCAUGAGCUGUGAUGGGGAAGGAAAUUAAGUACGGAAGUUCCUGAUUUCACGCUGUCAAGAAAAGCCUCUAGGAAGAGUAGUACUGCCCGUACCGCAAACCGACACAGGUAGAUGAGGAGAGAAUCCUAAGGUGAGCGAGAGAACUCUCGUUAAGGAACUCGGCAAAAUGACCCCGUAACUUCGGGAGAAGGGGUGCUCUAUUAGGGUGCAAGCCCGAGAGAGCCGCAGUGAAUAGGCCCAGGCGACUGUUUAGCAAAAACACAGGUCUCUGCA
RNAcentral lists this ribosomal RNA (1553 nucleotides) under Listeria monocytogenes. Its description in RNAcentral is "partial 23S ribosomal RNA". It matches the Rfam family "Bacterial large subunit ribosomal RNA", at positions 283 to 1827 of the family's 2925-position model. Lineage: Bacteria; Bacillati; Bacillota; Bacilli; Caryophanales; Listeriaceae. The record is from RNAcentral.